GACGAACGCUGGCGGCGUGCCUAAUACAUGCAAGUCGAGCGAAGUUUUUCUGGUGCUUGCACUAGAAAAACUUAGCGGCGAACGGGUGAGUAACACGUAAAGAACCUGCCUCAUAGACUGGGACAACUAUUGGAAACGAUAGCUAAUACCGGAUAACAGUAUUUCUCGCAUGAGAGAUAUUUAAAAGUUGGUUAUGCUAACACUAUGGGAUGGCUUUGCGGUGCAUUAGCUAGUUGGUGGGGUAAAGGCCCACCAAGGCGACGAUGCAUAGCCGACCUGAGAGGGUGAUCGGCCACACUGGGACUGAGACACGGCCCAGACUCCUACGGGAGGCAGCAGUAGGGAAUCUUCCGCAAUGGGCGAAAGCCUGACGGAGCAACGCCGCGUGAGUGAAGAAGGAUUUCGGUUCGUAAAGCUCUGUUGUUAGGGAAGAAUGGAUAUGUAGUAACUAUACAUAUAAGAGACG
RNAcentral lists this ribosomal RNA (466 nucleotides) under Gemella morbillorum. RNAcentral's name for it is "bacterial SSU rRNA". It matches the Rfam family "Bacterial small subunit ribosomal RNA", at positions 28 to 474 of the family's 1533-position model. Lineage: Bacteria; Bacillati; Bacillota; Bacilli; Caryophanales; Gemellaceae. The record is from RNAcentral.